UACGGGAGGCAGCAGUGGGGAAUAUUGCACAAUGGGCGAAAGCCUGAUGCAGCUAUGCCGCGUGUAUGAAGAAGGCCUUAGGGUUGUAAAGUACUUUCAUCGGGGAGGAAAAAACAAAACUAAUAAUUUUAUUUCUUGACGUUACCCGAAAAAGAAGCACCGGCUAACUCCGUGCCAGCAGCCGCGGUAAUACGGAGGGUGCUAGCGUUAAUCAGAAUUACUGGGCGUAAAGAGCACGUAGGUGGUUUUUUUAAGUCAGAUGUGAAAUCCCUGGGCUUAACCUGGAACUGCAUUUUGAAACUGAAAUACUAGAGUAUCGUAGAGGGAGGUAGAAUUCUAGGUGUAGCGGUGAAAUGCGUAGAUAUCUGGAGGAAUACCUGUGGCGAAAGCGGCCUCCUAAACGAAUACUGACACUGAGGUGCGAAAGCGUUGGGGAGCAAAC
This 442-nucleotide ribosomal RNA is filed under the name uncultured bacterium. Its description in RNAcentral is "bacterial SSU rRNA". It matches the Rfam family "Bacterial small subunit ribosomal RNA", at positions 340 to 773 of the family's 1533-position model. The record is from RNAcentral.